UGGUUCGAUCCUGGCUCAGAGUGAACGCUGGCGGCGUGCCUAAUACAUGCAAGUCGAACGAUGAAGCUCUAGCUUGCUAGAGUGGAUUAGUGGCGCACGGGUGAGUAAUGCAUAGAUAACAUGCCCUUUAGUCUAGGAUAGCCAUUGGAAACGAUGAUUAAUACUGGAUACUCCUUACGAGGGAAAGUUUUUCGCUAAAGGAUUGGUCUAUGUCCUAUCAGCUUGUUGGUGAGGUAAUGGCUCACCAAGGCUAUGACGGGUAUCCGGCCUGAGAGGGUGAACGGACACACUGGAACUGAGACACGGUCCUGACUCCUACGGGAGGCAGCAGUAGGGAAUAUUGCUCAAUGGGGGAAACCCUGAAGCAGCAACGCCGCGUGGAGGAUGAAGGUUUUCGGAUUGUAAACUCCUUUUGUUAGAGAAGAUAAUGACGGUAUCUAACGAAUAAGCACCGGCUAACUCCGUGCCAGCAGCCGCGGUAAUACGGAGGGUGCAAGCGUUACUCGGAAUCACUGGGCGUAAAGAGCGCGUAGGCGGGAUAGCAAGUCAGAUGUGAAAUCCUAUGGCUUAACCAUAGAACUGCAUUUGAAACUGUUAUUCUAGAGUAUGGGAGAGGUAGGUGGAAUUCUUGGUGUAGGGGUAAAAUCCGUAGAGAUCAAGAGGAAUACUCAUUGCGAAGGCGACCUGCUAGAACAUAACUGACGCUGAUGCGCGAAAGCGUGGGGAGCAAACAGGAUUAGAUACCCUGGUAGUCCACGCCCUAAACGAUGAAUGCUAGUUGUUGUGGAGCUUGUCUCUGCAGUAAUGCAGCUAACGCAUUAAGCAUUCCGCCUGGGGAGUACGGUCGCAAGAUUAAAACUCAAAGGAAUAGACGGGGACCCGCACAAGCGGUGGAGCAUGUGGUUUAAUUCGAAGAUACACGAAGAACCUUACCUAGGCUUGACAUUGAUAGAAUCCGCUAGAGAUAGUGGAGUGCUAGCUUGCUAGAACUUGAAAACAGGUGCUGCACGGCUGUCGUCAGCUCGUGUCGUGAGAUGUUGGGUUAAGUCCCGCAACGAGCGCAACCCUCGUCCUUAGUUGCUAACUAUUCGGUAGAGCACUCUAAGGAGACUGCCUUCGCAAGGAGGAGGAAGGUGAGGAUGACGUCAAGUCAUCAUGGCCCUUACGCCUAGGGCUACACACGUGCUACAAUGGGAAGCACAAAGAGAUGCAAUAUUGUGAAAUGGAGCAAAUCUAUAAAACUUCUCUCAGUUCGGAUUGUAGUCUGCAACUCGACUACAUGAAGCUGGAAUCGCUAGUAAUCGUAAAUCAGCUAUGUUACGGUGAAUACGUUCCCGGGUCUUGUACUCACCGCCCGUCACACCAUGGGAGUUGUAUUCGCCUUAAGUCGGAAUGCCAAACUGGCUACCGCCCACGGCGGAUGCAGCGACUGGGGUGAAGUCGUAACAAGGUACCC
RNAcentral lists this ribosomal RNA (1456 nucleotides) under uncultured bacterium. Its description in RNAcentral is "partial 16S ribosomal RNA". It matches the Rfam family "Bacterial small subunit ribosomal RNA". The record is from RNAcentral.